This 69-nucleotide transfer RNA is filed under the name Rattus norvegicus (Norway rat). It matches the Rfam family "tRNA". Rfam says of the family: Transfer RNA (tRNA) molecules are approximately 80 nucleotides in length. Their secondary structure includes four short double-helical elements and three loops (D, anti-codon, and T loops). Lineage: Eukaryota; Metazoa; Chordata; Mammalia; Rodentia; Muridae. The record is from Rfam by way of RNAcentral.
GGGGAUUUAGCUCAGCGGUAGAGCGCUUGCCUAGCGAGCGCAAGGUCCUGGGUUCGGUUCCCAGCUCCG